Molecule: ribosomal RNA, 484 nt
Filed under: uncultured bacterium
Lineage: Bacteria
Description: partial 16S ribosomal RNA
Rfam family: Bacterial small subunit ribosomal RNA
Source: RNAcentral
AUUGAACGCUGGCGGCAGGCCUAACACAUGCAAGUCGAGCGGAUGAAGGGAGCUUGCUCCUGGAUUCAGCGGCGGACGGGUGAGUAAUGCCUAGGAAUCUGCCUGGUAGUGGGGGAUAACGUCCGGAAACGGGCGCUAAUACCGCAUACGUCCUGAGGGAGAAAGUGGGGGAUCUUCGGACCUCACGCUAUCAGAUGAGCCUAGGUCGGAUUAGCUAGUUGGUGGGGUAAAGGCCUACCAAGGCGACGAUCCGUAACUGGUCUGAGAGGAUGAUCAGUCACACGGGAACUGAGACACGGUCCAGACUCCUAAGGGAGGCAGCAGUGGGGAAUAUUGGACAAUGGGCGAAAGCCUGAUCCAGCCAUGCCGAGUGUGUGAAGAAGGUCUUCGGAUUGUAAAGCACGUUAAGUUGGGAGGAAGGGCAGUAAGUUAAUACCUUGCUGUUUUGACGUUACCAACAGAAUAAGCACCGGCUAACUUCGUG